Non-coding RNA from Tupaia belangeri (northern tree shrew), 91 nucleotides. The record is from Rfam. Lineage: Eukaryota; Metazoa; Chordata; Mammalia; Scandentia; Tupaiidae.
CUGAGUUAUCUCUAAACUCAAUCCAUACUCCAAAGCAAUUGAUUUAACAUGAUUAAUGUUAUAAUUUUUUAGCAUCAACAUAAAAAAAUUA